Molecule: ribosomal RNA, 1399 nt
Filed under: uncultured bacterium
Lineage: Bacteria
Description: 16S ribosomal RNA
Rfam family: Bacterial small subunit ribosomal RNA
Source: RNAcentral
AGAGUUUGAUCCUGGCUCAGGAUGAACGCUAGCGACAGGCUUAACACAUGCAAGUCGAGGGGCAGCGGGGGAGCAGCAAUGCUCCCGCCGGCGACCGGCGCACGGGUGAGUAACACGUAUGGAACCUGCCCGCAGCAGGGGGAUAAGCGGAAGAAAUUCCGUCUAAUACCGCGUAACACCGCGGAGGGGCAUCCCUCGGCGGUUAAAGAUUCAUCGGCUGCGGAUGGCCAUGCGGCGCAUUAGCUAGUCGGCGGGGUAACGGCCCACCGAGGCGACGAUGCGUAGGGGUUCUGAGAGGAAGGUCCCCCACACUGGUACUGAGACACGGACCAGACUCCUACGGGAGGCAGCAGUGAGGAAUAUUGGUCAAUGGCCGGGAGGCUGAACCAGCCAAGUCGCGUGAGGGAAGACGGCCCUACGGGUUGUAAACCUCUUUUGUCAGGGAGCAAGAGGCGGGUCGGGACCUGCUGUGAGAGUACCCGAAGAAAAAGCAUCGGCUAACUCCGUGCCAGCAGCCGCGGUAAUACGGAGGAUGCGAGCGUUAUCCGGAUUUAUUGGGUUUAAAGGGUGCGCAGGCGGAGGCACAAGUCAGCGGUAAAAUCGCGGGGCUCAACCCCGCUCCGCCGUUGAAACUGUGUCCCUUGAGUGCGCGAAGGGUAGGCGGAAUGCGUGGUGUAGCGGUGAAAUGCAUAGAUAUCACGCAGAACUCCGAUCGCGAAGGCAGCCUACCGGCGCGCAACUGACGCUCAUGCACGAAAGCGUGGGUAUCGAACAGGAUUAGAUACCCUGGUAGUCCACGCAGUAAACGAUGAAUGCUAUCUGUCCGGCCGGAAUGACGGCUGGGUGGCACAGCGAAAGCGUUAAGCAUUCCACCUGGGGAGUACGCCGGCAACGGUGAAACUCAAAGGAAUUGACGGGGGCCCGCACAAGCGGAGGAACAUGUGGUUUAAUUCGAUGAUACGCGAGGAACCUUACCCGGGCUCAAACGACACAGGGAUGCCGCCGAAAGGUGGCAGUCCUUCGUGACCUGUGUCGAGGUGCUGCAUGGUUGUCGUCAGCUCGUGCCGUGAGGUGUCGGCUUAAGUGCCAUAACGAGCGCAACCCCCAUCUUCAGUUGCCAUCAGGUAGAGCUGGGCACUCUGGAGAGACUGCCGGCGCAAGCUGCGAGGAAGGCGGGGAUGACGUCAAAUCAGCACGGCCCUUACGUCCGGGGCGACACACGUGUUACAAUGGCAGGUACAGCGGGAAGCCAGGCGGCGACGCCGAGCGGAACCCGAAAACCUGUCUCAGUUCGGAUCGGAGUCUGCAACCCGACUCCGUGAAGCUGGAUUCGCUAGUAAUCGCGCAUCAGCCAUGGCGCGGUGAAUACGUUCCCGGGCCUUGCACUCACCGCCCGUCA